GGGACCCGGGGCUGGGGCUGGGGGGCAGGGGCAGCGGCCAGACUGUCCUGGCAGGCCCGGGACAUUGCUGAGCCGUGAGCACAGCCUGCAGGCAUCCAAGUGCUCUCCGCCAGCCUGAGCCAGGGCCCCUUCCAGCACCCCUCAGGCCCCCUCCUUCCCCCUCCCCCAGAGGCCUCCUUUGUUUUUCUUCCCCGUGCCACAGCCCCUUCUUCCAAAUGCCUUCACUCGGCUCCCAUCCCACCUCAGUCUCCCCUCGGCCCCUCUCAGCCAGUUUCCUCAGCCCUGAAAGACCACCUCCUCCUGUCCGGCCCCCUCAGCCUCCAGCCACCCUUUCCCUGCCCCAGUCUGGCAGAGUCCUCGGCAUAGGCUGCCAGGACAGUCUCCCCUGGGGGCCGCUCUGCCACCCCCUCCUUCGAGCCCCCCUGUGGCCUCAGGGCUGAGCCUACACUUCUCACCUUGGAGUUGAGAGGAAUGCGAAGUGUGGCUGAGGCCUACGUCGAGGGCCUUACCCCUGACUGCUCGAGACUCACAAAGUACAGCCCGGCCACACCAGGCUCGUCGCAUGGAGGCCCCGCCUGAGCCGGCUCUGUUCCCCGCGGGGCCGCCUGCCAUCUCCUUACUUGGCCUUGAGCGCCGGAGGGCAGGGGCUGCGUCUCGACCCCGCGUGGACCCUGUGUCCGCUCACAGGUCAGGUGUCUUCGGAGCAGCUGCCGUGUGCUGGCUGCCCACGGAGCCGCAAACACAGGCACCAGACGGUUCAUCGCACACGCCACGCGUGUCGGGGACGAGCGUUUGUCGAGUGGAUGAGACGUGCAGAGGCUCAGAGUGCGUGUCCUGGGGACCUGGAGCCAGCUGCCUGCAUUCAGAUCCAAGUGGUGCCACCUGUUAGCUGGGUGGCCUCGGACAAGUCACCUGGCCUCUCCGUGCCUCGGUUUGCUCCUCUGUAGAACAAGUGUGGUCAUGGUCUGUCCUUCAGAGGCCUGUGUGAGCGCUGGGCUUCAGGUGCCUAGCACAGGGCCCACAGUUGGUAACUGUUCAGUAAACAUGUGCUGUCAUCAUCAUAAAUGUAGUGAUUGUUCUUCCAUGAA
Balaenoptera ricei (Rice's whale) is the source of this 1088-nucleotide long non-coding RNA. RefSeq lists it as uncharacterized. Lineage: Eukaryota; Metazoa; Chordata; Mammalia; Artiodactyla; Balaenopteridae. The record is from RefSeq and is a predicted model, not a curated record. The transcript is spliced from 2 exons.